This is a long non-coding RNA of Carassius auratus (goldfish), 498 nucleotides long. RefSeq lists it as uncharacterized. NCBI's taxonomy places the organism in Eukaryota, Metazoa, Chordata, Actinopteri, Cypriniformes, Cyprinidae. The transcript has 4 exons. The record is from RefSeq and is a predicted model, not a curated record.
UGGAAAAAGGAUCACAGACAGUCACACAACGAGAAUCCAGUCAUCUGAACUCACAGGAAGUGAUGGUGUGAUGAUCAGAAGGUCCAGAGCAGCUGCAGUAGUGUUUGUGCUGCUGUGUGUUCUUCUGCUGACUGCACGCAUUAUACUGUGUGCCACCUUCACUCAAGAGAGACGACAGCUGCUGACUAAGAUCACCAACCUCACUCAAGAGAGAGACCAGCUAUUAACCAACAAUAUGAACCUCACAGAAGAGAGAGACAACAGCUGAAAUCAGAAAGAACUGAUCUUCAGAAGAAGUUUACGGAUGGAUGGAAGUGUCUUCAAUCCAGUCUUUACUUCAUUUCCUCUGAGACGAAGAACUGGACUAAGAGCAGAAGAUACUGUAGAGAGAGAAAAGCAGAUCUGAUCAUCAUCAACAACAGAGAGGAACAAUCAAGCCAGGUUGAGUUAGCAGUGGAUGAGAGCACCUUUGAUCACCAGGGAGUCAGUCAAGAGAGA